Molecule: ribosomal RNA, 859 nt
Filed under: uncultured bacterium
Lineage: Bacteria
Description: bacterial SSU rRNA
Rfam family: Bacterial small subunit ribosomal RNA
Source: RNAcentral
CGGAGAGUUUGAUCCUGGCUCAGGAUGAACGCUGGCGGCGUGCCUAAUACAUGCAAGUCGAACGCUUUGUGGUUCAACUGAUUUGAAGAGCUUGCUCAGAUAUGACGAUGGACAUUGCAAAGAGUGGCGAACGGGUGAGUAACACGUGGGAAACCUACCUCUUAGCAGGGGAUAACAUUUGGAAACAGAUGCUAAUACCGUAUAACAAUAGCAACCGCAUGGUUGCUACUUAAAAGAUGGUUCUGCUAUCACUAAGAGAUGGUCCCGCGGUGCAUUAGUUAGUUGGUGAGGUAAUGGCUCACCAAGACGAUGAUGCAUAGCCGAGUUGAGAGACUGAUCGGCCACAAUGGGACUGAGACACGGCCCAUACUCCUACGGGAGGCAGCAGUAGGGAAUCUUCCACAAUGGGCGAAAGCCUGAUGGAGCAACGCCGCGUGUGUGAUGAAGGGUUUCGGCUCGUAAAACACUGUUGUAAGAGAAGAAUGACAUUGAGAGUAACUGUUCAAUGUGUGACGGUAUCUUACCAGAAAGGAACGGCUAAAUACGUGCCAGCAGCCGCGGUAAUACGUAUGCUCCAAGCGUUAUCCGGAUUUAUUGGGCGUAAAGCGAGCGCAGACGGUUAUUUAAGUCUGAAGUGAAAGCCCUCAGCUCAACUGAGGAAUUGCUUUGGAAACUGGAUGACUUGAGUGCAGUAGAGGAAAGUGGAACUCCAUGUGUAGCGGUGAAAUGCGUAGAUAUAUGGAAGAACACCAGUGGCGAAGGCGGCUUUCUGGACUGUAACUGACGUUGAGGCUCGAAAGUGUGGGUAGCAAACAGGAUUGGAUACCCUGGUAGUCCACACCGUAAACGAUGAGUGCUA